RNAcentral lists this Y RNA (88 nucleotides) under Prolemur simus (greater bamboo lemur). RNAcentral describes it as "Y RNA (ENSPSMG00000003316.1)". It matches the Rfam family "Y RNA". Rfam says of the family: Y RNAs are components of the Ro ribonucleoprotein particle (Ro RNP), in association with Ro60 and La proteins. The Y RNAs and Ro60 and La proteins are well conserved, but the function of the Ro RNP is not known. Lineage: Eukaryota; Metazoa; Chordata; Mammalia; Primates; Lemuridae. The record is from Rfam by way of RNAcentral.
GGUUGGUCUGAGUGCAGUGGUGUUUACAACCAGUUACAGAUUCCUUUGUUCCUUCUCCACUCCCACUGCUUCACUUAACCAGCCUUUA